RNAcentral lists this non-coding RNA (45 nucleotides) under Schistosoma mattheei. Lineage: Eukaryota; Metazoa; Platyhelminthes; Trematoda; Strigeidida; Schistosomatidae. The record is from RNAcentral.
AUCAAGAUGACGAGUCCCAAACAGGACGAAACGCGCGUCCUGGAU